This 74-nucleotide transfer RNA is filed under the name Stegodyphus mimosarum. It matches the Rfam family "tRNA". Rfam says of the family: Transfer RNA (tRNA) molecules are approximately 80 nucleotides in length. Lineage: Eukaryota; Metazoa; Arthropoda; Arachnida; Araneae; Eresidae. The record is from Rfam by way of RNAcentral.
GCCUUCGUGGUGUAAUGGUCAGCACACUCGGCGUGUAUUCGAGAGGACCGAGGUUCGAGUCCCUUGCGAGGGCA